This 1528-nucleotide ribosomal RNA is filed under the name Klebsiella pneumoniae. RNAcentral's name for it is "bacterial SSU rRNA". It matches the Rfam family "Bacterial small subunit ribosomal RNA". Lineage: Bacteria; Pseudomonadati; Pseudomonadota; Gammaproteobacteria; Enterobacterales; Enterobacteriaceae. The record is from RNAcentral.
AGAGUUUGAUCAUGGCUCAGAUUGAACGCUGGCGGCAGGCCUAACACAUGCAAGUCGAGCGGUAGCACAGAGAGCUUGCUCUCGGGUGACGAGCGGCGGACGGGUGAGUAAUGUCUGGGAAACUGCCUGAUGGAGGGGGAUAACUACUGGAAACGGUAGCUAAUACCGCAUAAUGUCGCAAGACCAAAGUGGGGGACCUUCGGGCCUCAUGCCAUCAGAUGUGCCCAGAUGGGAUUAGCUUGUAGGUGGGGUAACGGCUCACCUAGGCGACGAUCCCUAGCUGGUCUGAGAGGAUGACCAGCCACACUGGAACUGAGACACGGUCCAGACUCCUACGGGAGGCAGCAGUGGGGAAUAUUGCACAAUGGGCGCAAGCCUGAUGCAGCCAUGCCGCGUGUGUGAAGAAGGCCUUCGGGUUGUAAAGCACUUUCAGCGGGGAGGAAGGCGUUGAGGUUAAUAACCUUAUCGAUUGACGUUACCCGCAGAAGAAGCACCGGCUAACUCCGUGCCAGCAGCCGCGGUAAUACGGAGGGUGCAAGCGUUAAUCGGAAUUACUGGGCGUAAAGCGCACGCAGGCGGUCUGUCAAGUCGGAUGUGAAAUCCCCGGGCUCAACCUGGGAACUGCAUUCGAAACUGGCAGGCUAGAGUCUUGUAGAGGGGGGUAGAAUUCCAGGUGUAGCGGUGAAAUGCGUAGAGAUCUGGAGGAAUACCGGUGGCGAAGGCGGCCCCCUGGACAAAGACUGACGCUCAGGUGCGAAAGCGUGGGGAGCAAACAGGAUUAGAUACCCUGGUAGUCCACGCCGUAAACGAUGUCGAUUUGGAGGUUGUGCCCUUGAGGCGUGGCUUCCGGAGCUAACGCGUUAAAUCGACCGCCUGGGGAGUACGGCCGCAAGGUUAAAACUCAAAUGAAUUGACGGGGGCCCGCACAAGCGGUGGAGCAUGUGGUUUAAUUCGAUGCAACGCGAAGAACCUUACCUGGUCUUGACAUCCACAGAACUUAGCAGAGAUGCUUUGGUGCCUUCGGGAACUGUGAGACAGGUGCUGCAUGGCUGUCGUCAGCUCGUGUUGUGAAAUGUUGGGUUAAGUCCCGCAACGAGCGCAACCCUUAUCCUUUGUUGCCAGCGGUCCGGCCGGGAACUCAAAGGAGACUGCCAGUGAUAAACUGGAGGAAGGUGGGGAUGACGUCAAGUCAUCAUGGCCCUUACGACCAGGGCUACACACGUGCUACAAUGGCAUAUACAAAGAGAAGCGACCUCGCGAGAGCAAGCGGACCUCAUAAAGUAUGUCGUAGUCCGGAUUGGAGUCUGCAACUCGACUCCAUGAAGUCGGAAUCGCUAGUAAUCGUAGAUCAGAAUGCUACGGUGAAUACGUUCCCGGGCCUUGUACACACCGCCCGUCACACCAUGGGAGUGGGUUGCAAAAGAAGUAGGUAGCUUAACCUUCGGGAGGGCGCUUACCACUUUGUGAUUCAUGACUGGGGUGAAGUCGUAACAAGGUAACCGUAGGGGAACCUGCGGUUGGAUCACCU